RNAcentral lists this ribosomal RNA (885 nucleotides) under Halomonas elongata. RNAcentral describes it as "partial 16S ribosomal RNA". The record is from RNAcentral. Lineage: Bacteria; Pseudomonadati; Pseudomonadota; Gammaproteobacteria; Oceanospirillales; Halomonadaceae.
UUAGGCUAACCACUUCUGGUGCAGUCCACUCCCAUGGUGUGACGGGCGGUGUGUACAAGGCCCGGGAACGUAUUCACCGUGCCAUUCUGAUGCACGAUUACUAGCGAUUCCGACUUCACGGAGUCGAGUUGCAGACUCCGAUCCGGACUGAGACCGGCUUUAUGAGAUUAGCUCCACGUCGCCGCUUUGCAACCCAUUGUACCGGCCAUUGUAGCACGUGUGUAGCCCUACCCGUAAGGGCCAUGAUGACUUGACGUCGUCCCCACCUUCCUCCGGUUUGUCACCGGCAGUCUCCCUAGAGUUCCCGACCGAAUCGCUGGCAAAUAGGGACAAGGGUUGCGCUCGUUACGGGACUUAACCCAACAUUUCACAACACGAGCUGACGACAGCCAUGCAGCACCUGUCUGUGCGCUCCCGAAGGCACCAAUCCAUCUCUGGAAAGUUCGCACGAUGUCAAGGGUAGGUAAGGUUCUUCGCGUUGCAUCGAAUUAAACCACAUGCUCCACCGCUUGUGCGGGCCCCCGUCAAUUCAUUUGAGUUUUAACCUUGCGGCCGUACUCCCCAGGCGGUCGACUUAGUGCGUUAACUGCGCCACAAAGGUCUCGAGGACCCCAACGGCUAGUCGACAUCGUUUACGGCGUGGACUACCAGGGUAUCUAAUCCUGUUUGCUACCCACGCUUUCGUACCUCAGCGUCAGUGUCAGUCCAGAAGGCCGCCUUCGCCACUGGUAUUCCUCCCGAUCUCUACGCAUUUCACCGCUACACCGGGAAUUCUACCUUCCUCUCCUGCACUCUAGCCUAACAGUUCCGGAUGCCGUUCCCAGGUUGAGCCCGGGGCUUUCACAACCGGCUUAUCAAGCCGCCUACGCACGCUUUACGCCCAGU